This 253-nucleotide ribosomal RNA is filed under the name uncultured bacterium. Its description in RNAcentral is "partial 16S ribosomal RNA". It matches the Rfam family "Bacterial small subunit ribosomal RNA", at positions 524 to 776 of the family's 1533-position model. The record is from RNAcentral.
GACGGAGGGUGCGAGCGUUAUCCGGAAUCACUGGGCGUAAAGCGUCUGUAGGUGGUGAUGCAAGUCACUGGUGCAAAACUCUGGCUCAACCGGAGGAAAGCCAGUGAAACUGCAUGACUAGAGUGUGGGAGAGGUAGAAGGAAUUCCCUGAGUAGCGGUGAAAUGCGUAGAUACAGGGAAGAACACCGGAGGCGAAAGCGUUCUACUGGAACACAACUGACACUGAGAGACGAAAGCUAGGGGAGCGAAUGGG